RNAcentral lists this ribosomal RNA (497 nucleotides) under uncultured bacterium. RNAcentral's name for it is "partial 16S ribosomal RNA". It matches the Rfam family "Bacterial small subunit ribosomal RNA", at positions 28 to 507 of the family's 1533-position model. The record is from RNAcentral.
GAUGAACGCUGGCGGCGUGCCUAAUACAUGCAAGUCGAGCGAACGGACGAGAAGCUUGCUUCUCUGAUGUUAGCGGCGGACGGGUGAGUAACACGUGGAUAACCUACCUAUAAGACUGGGAUAACUUCGGGAAACCGGAGCUAAUACCGGAUAAUAUUUUGAACCGCAUGGUUCAAAAGUAAAAGACGGUCUUGCUGUCACUUAUAGAUGGAUCCGCGCUGCAUUAGCUAGUUGGUAAGGUAACGGCUUACCAAGGCAACGAUGCAUAGCCGACCUGAGAGGGUGAUCGGCCACACUGGAACUGAGACACGGUACAGACUCCGACGGGAGGCAGCAGUAGGGAAUCUUCCGCAAUGGGCGAAAGCGUGACGGAGCAAAGCCGCGUGAGUGAUGAAGGACUUAGGAUCGUAAAACUCUGUUAUUAGUGAAGAACAUAUGUGUAAGUAACUGUGCACAUCUUGACGGUACCUAAUCAGAAAGCCACGGCUAACUACGUG